ACCCAAGCAUCUGACAGUAAAGUUCAGGAGUGAAAAUGCCGACACACAUCAGACGGACAUCAGGAUGAAUCACUCCCUCGUGUCGAGGUUCAGAAAGAAACUAAAAAGCCUUCCUGUUGCAGAUUACUAUGGCCUCAAGAGUCCAGGUCUUACAUGUUACCUGAACAGCGUGCUUCAGGUGCUUUUCAUGACAGAAAACUUUCGCGACGCUUUGAAAAGUCCAGAUCACC
Molecule: long non-coding RNA, 230 nt
Organism: Pundamilia nyererei
Lineage: Eukaryota; Metazoa; Chordata; Actinopteri; Cichliformes; Cichlidae
Exons: 3
Source: RefSeq, a predicted model, not a curated record